RNAcentral lists this long non-coding RNA (443 nucleotides) under Brachypodium distachyon (stiff brome). RNAcentral describes it as "long non-coding RNA (BDIS_LNC000223)". Lineage: Eukaryota; Viridiplantae; Streptophyta; Magnoliopsida; Poales; Poaceae. The record is from RNAcentral.
CUUAGUUAUAUUAUGAGUUGCUUUGUAAUUUCUUGGAUCUAUGAUCCAAAGCAUUGUACCUGUAACGAUUAUAGAGUUUGAAUAAAGUUGUAGGUUAUUCCAAAAAAAAGCUAAGAAAUUUUUUUGUUGGAAUGGGCAAAAAUGGACAGGUAAUGAGCAAAAGUUGUUGGGCGGGGCCAGAAUUUUGAGAAUUGAUGGGUCAAAUAUAAGAAAACUAAAAAAAGAGAAAAUAUAUAAACGGGUCGCGCCGAGCCGGCAUGCGGGCUCACGGUUGAUGCUCCGGCACGGCACAUGCCGGGCCACAGGCCGACCCGUCCAAAUUAAUUUUGUGCCGAGCCAAGCCCGUUGGCUUUUGAGAAAAGUCCAGCCCGAUGGCCAUCUGUAGUUGUCAAGGAAAAUAAGAAAGAAAAAAUAUGAGCUUCGGCGUGAAAAGGAAAUUAGCC